UACGUAGGGUGCGAGCGUUGUCCGGAAUUAUUGGGCGUAAAGAGCUUGUAGGCGGUUUGUCGCGUCUGCUGUGAAAUCUCAAGGCUCAACCUUGAGCUUGCAGUGGGUACGGGCAGACUAGAGUGUGGUAGGGGAGACUGGAAUUCCUGGUGUAGCGGUGAAAUGCGCAGAUAUCAGGAGGAACACCGAUGGCGAAGGCAGGUCUCUGGGCCACUACUGACGCUGAGAAGCGAAAGCAUAGGGGAGCGAACAGG
RNAcentral lists this ribosomal RNA (254 nucleotides) under uncultured bacterium. RNAcentral describes it as "partial 16S ribosomal RNA". It matches the Rfam family "Bacterial small subunit ribosomal RNA", at positions 524 to 776 of the family's 1533-position model. The record is from RNAcentral.